This 301-nucleotide ribosomal RNA is filed under the name uncultured bacterium. RNAcentral describes it as "partial 16S ribosomal RNA". It matches the Rfam family "Bacterial small subunit ribosomal RNA", at positions 509 to 808 of the family's 1533-position model. The record is from RNAcentral.
CAGUCGCCACGGGAAUACGUAGGGUGCAAGCGUUAAUCGGAAUUACUGGCGUAAAGCGUGCGCAGGCGGUUUGUUAAGAUAGAUGUGAAAUCCCCGGGCUUAACCUGGGAACUGCAUUUGUGACUGGCAAGCUAGAGUAUGGCAGAGGGGGGUGGAAUUCCGCGUGUAGCAGUGAAAUGCGUAGAUAUGCGGAGGAACACCGAUGGCGAAGGCAGCCCCCUGGGCCAAUACUGACGCUCAUGCACGAAAGCGUGGGGAGCAAACAGGAUUAGAUACCCCUGUAGUCCCUGUCUCUUAUACA